This 409-nucleotide ribosomal RNA is filed under the name bacterium. Its description in RNAcentral is "partial 16S ribosomal RNA". It matches the Rfam family "Bacterial small subunit ribosomal RNA", at positions 355 to 776 of the family's 1533-position model. The record is from RNAcentral.
UUGGGAAUAUUGCACAAUGGGCGAAAGCCUGAUGCAGCGACGCCGCGUGAGGGAUGACGGCCUUCGGGUUGUAAACCUCUUUCAGCAGGGACGAAGCGCAAGUGACGGUACCUGCAGAAGAAGCACCGGCUAACUACGUGCCAGCAGCCGCGGUAAUACGUAGGGUGCAAGCGUUGUCCGGAAUUACUGGGCGUAAAGAGUUCGUAGGCGGUUUGUCGCGUCGUUUGUGAAAACCAGCAGCUCAACUGCUGGCUUGCAGGCGAUACGGGCAGACUUGAGUACUGCAGGGGAGACUGGAAUUCCUGGUGUAGCGGUGAAAUGCGCAGAUAUCAGGAGGAACACCGGUGGCGAAGGCGGGUCUCUGGGCAGUAACUGACGCUGAAGAACGAAAGCGUGGGUAGCGAACAGG